RNAcentral lists this ribosomal RNA (133 nucleotides) under Castor canadensis (American beaver). Lineage: Eukaryota; Metazoa; Chordata; Mammalia; Rodentia; Castoridae. The record is from RNAcentral.
AUCUACAGCCAUACCACCCUGAAUGUGCCCAACCUCGUCUGAUCUUGGAAGCUAAGCAGGGUUGGGCAUGGUUAGUACUUGGAUGGGAGAAUUCACAUUUUACUACCCUAAUGGUUCACAUUUUCUAUAUUUU